ACACUGACGUCGCGACGCAUAUCAAUAAGCGGAGGAAAAGAAACUAACAAGGAUUCCCUUAGUAACGGCGAGUGAAGCGGGAAGAGCUCAAAUUUGAAAUCUUCAAGGUUCUACCUUGACGAAUUGUAGUUUAAAGAAGUGUUUUCUGUUAGAUGAGUAGCAAAAGCUCCUUGGAAUGGGACAUCAUAGAGGGUGAGAAUCCCGUAUUUGGUUAUUCAUUCUAGCUUUGUGAUACACUUUCAAAGAGUCGGAUUGUUUGGGAAUGCAGUCCAAAAUGGGUGGUAAAUUUCAUCUAAAGCUAAAUAUUGGCGAGAGACCGAUAGCGAACAAGUACCGUGAGGGAAAGAUGAAAAGAACUUUGAAAAGAGAGUUAAACAGUACGUGAAAUUGUCAAAAGGGAAGCGUUUGACACCAGUGUUGUUUUUCCGAAAAUCAAUUAUAAAUGGUUUGAUUUCUGUGUAGAGUAUGACCUUCAUCAGCUUCCUGCUACUCUUUCACGAGACUUUUGUAAUGCACUUUUCGGUUAACAAGUCAACAUCAAUUUCUUUUGUUGUAAAAGAGUAUUCGGAAGGUGGCUUUCUUUUCGGAGAAAGUGUUUAUAGCCCUAUACUUCUACAAUCGGAGAGAUUGAGGUCUGCAGCGUAGAUCCUUCGGGGUUAGAUACACUUGUGCUAAGUUAUAGCUUUUCAUAGACAACUUGUUGACUAUGUUUAGUCUUGUAGCUUACUCGCUUGUGCUAUUUUAUCCUACGCUUAGGAUGUUGAGUCGUAGAGCACGCAG
This 780-nucleotide ribosomal RNA is filed under the name uncultured Neocallimastigales. RNAcentral's name for it is "partial large subunit ribosomal RNA". It matches the Rfam family "Eukaryotic large subunit ribosomal RNA", at positions 25 to 634 of the family's 3401-position model. Lineage: Eukaryota; Fungi; Neocallimastigomycota; Neocallimastigomycetes; Neocallimastigales. The record is from RNAcentral.